Molecule: ribosomal RNA, 501 nt
Filed under: Psychromonas arctica
Lineage: Bacteria; Pseudomonadati; Pseudomonadota; Gammaproteobacteria; Alteromonadales; Psychromonadaceae
Description: bacterial SSU rRNA
Rfam family: Bacterial small subunit ribosomal RNA
Source: RNAcentral
AGAGGAUGACCAGCCACACUGGAACUGAGACACGGUCCAGACUCCUACGGGAGGCAGCAGUGGGGAAUAUUGCACAAUGGGCGCAAGCCUGAUGCAGCCAUGCCGCGUGUGUGAAGAAGGCUUUCGGGUUGUAAAGCACUUUCAGCGAGGAGGAAAGGUUGUACUUUAAUAGAGUGCAGCUGUGACGUUACUCGCAGAAGAAGCACCGGCUAACUCCGUGCCAGCAGCCGCGGUAAUACGGAGGGUGCGAGCGUUAAUCGGAAUUACUGGGCGUAAAGCGCGCGUAGGCGGUUAAUUAAGUCAGAUGUGAAAUCCCAGGGCUCAACCUUGGAACUGCAUUUGAAACUGGUUAACUAGAGUUUUGUAGAGGGUGGUAGAAUUUCAGGUGUAGCGGUGAAAUGCGUAGAGAUCUGAAGGAAUACCAGUGGCGAAGGCGGCCACCUGGACAAAGACUGACGCUGAGGCGCGAAGGCGUGGGGAGCAAACGGGAUUAGAUACCCC